GGGUGCAAGCCUGAUGCAGCGACGCCGCGUGAGGGAUGACGGCCUUCGGGUUGUAAACCUCUUUCGCCAGGGACGAAGCGCAAGUGACGGUACCUGGAGAAGAAGCACCGGCCAACUACGUGCCAGCAGCCGCGGUAAUACGUAGGGUGCGAGCGUUGUCCGGAAUUACUGGGCGUAAAGAGCUCGUAGGUGGUUUGUCGCGUUGUUCGUGAAAACUCACAGCUUAACUGUGGGCGUGCGGGCGAUACGGGCAGACUGGAGUACUGCAGGGGAGACUGGAAUUCCUGGUGUAGCGGUGGAAUGCGCAGAUAUCAGGAGGAACACCGGUGGCGAAGGCGGGUCUCUGGGCAGUAACUGACGCUGAGGAGCGAAAGCGUGGGGAGCGAACAGGAUUAGAUACCCUGGUAGUCCACGCCGUAAACGGUGGGUACUAGGUGUGGGUUUCCUUCCUUGGGAUCCGUGCCGUAGCUAACGCAUUAAGUACCCCGCCUGGGGAGU
Molecule: ribosomal RNA, 498 nt
Filed under: Mycolicibacterium chlorophenolicum
Lineage: Bacteria; Bacillati; Actinomycetota; Actinomycetes; Mycobacteriales; Mycobacteriaceae
Description: bacterial SSU rRNA
Rfam family: Bacterial small subunit ribosomal RNA
Source: RNAcentral